CCCAGUAAACGGCGGCCGUAACUAUAACGGUCCUAAGGUAGCGAAAUUCCUUGUCGGGUAAGUUCCGACCCGCACGAAAGGUGUAACGAUUUGGGCACUGUCUCAACGAGGGACCCGGUGAAAUUGAAAUACCUGUGAAGAUGCAGGUUACCCGCGACUGGACAGAAAGACCCCAUGGAGCUUUACUGUAACCUGACAUUGGGUUUUGAUACAUUACGUACAGGAUAGGUGGGAGGCUUGGAAAGCUGGACGCUAGUCUGGCUGGAGCCGACGUUGGGAUACCACCCUUGAUGUAUUGAAAUUCUAACCGCGAGAGUAACGAAAUCCGGGACAGUGUCAGGCGGGCAGUUUGACUGGGGCGGUCGCCUCCGAAAGAGUAACGGAGGCGCCCAAAGGUUCCCUCAGCGCGGCCGGAAAUCGCGCGAAGAGUGUAAAGGCAGAAGGGAGCUUGACUGCGAGUCAAACACGACGAGCAGGUACGAAAGUAGGGCUUAGUGAUCCGGUGGUACCGAGUGGAAGGGCCAUCGCUCAACGGAUAAAAGCUACCCUGGGGAUAACAGGCUAAUCUCUCCCAAGAGUCCAUAUCGACGGGGAGGUUUGGCACCUCGAUGUCGGCUCAUCACAUCCUGGGGCUGAAGUCGGUCCCAAGGGUUGGGCUGUUCGCCCAUUAAAGUGGUACGUGAGCUGGGUUCAGAACGUCGUGAGACAGUUCGGUCCCUAUCCAUCGCGGGCGCAAGAGAUUUGAAGGGGGCUGCUCCUAGUACGAGAGGACCGGAGUGGACGAACCGCUGGUGUACCAAUUAUCCCGCCAGGGGUACAGUUGGGUAGCUACGUUCGGAAAGGAUAAACGCUGAAAGCAUCUAAGCGUGAAACCAGCCUUAAGAUGAGAUCUCUCAUAGAGCAAUCUAGUAAGACACCUUAAAGAAGAUGAGGUUGAUAGGUCGGGAGUGUAAGUACAGCAAUGUAUUGAGCGGACCGAUACUAAUAUGUCGAGGGCUUGACUUA
This 1005-nucleotide ribosomal RNA is filed under the name human metagenome. RNAcentral's name for it is "bacterial LSU rRNA". It matches the Rfam family "Bacterial large subunit ribosomal RNA", at positions 1919 to 2925 of the family's 2925-position model. The record is from RNAcentral.